This 813-nucleotide ribosomal RNA is filed under the name Chaenotheca trichialis. Its description in RNAcentral is "SSU rRNA". It matches the Rfam family "Bacterial small subunit ribosomal RNA", at positions 370 to 1294 of the family's 1533-position model. Lineage: Eukaryota; Fungi; Ascomycota; Coniocybomycetes; Coniocybales; Coniocybaceae. The record is from RNAcentral.
AAUGGCCUAAUGGCUGAACCAGCAACUUGGAGGAAUGUAUAUUGACUACGUCAAAUAAAGUUCUAGUGGAAUAAUGAUAAUGACAAUUUUCUAUUACAUGUCUUGACCAAAUCACGUGCCAGCAGUCGCGGUAAUACGUGGAAGACAAGUGUUAUUCAUCUUUAAUAGGUUUAAAGGGUACCUAGACGGUAUUUUUAGCCCAAAAUAGGGGACGGAUUUACUAGAGUUUAGAUGUGAGAAGGGGAGUAUUUUUAGUGUAGAGAUAGAAUUCUGUCAUACUUCAAGGACUGGCAAAGGCGCAAGCAACCUUCUAUGUAAAAACUGACGUUGAGGGACGAAGGCUUGGGGAGCAAUAAGGAUUAGAUACCCUAGUAGUCCAAGCAGAGAAUUAUGAAUGCCACACGCUAGAUUGAUUUAGUGUGUAAAUAAAAGUGUAAGCAUUCCACCUCAAGAGUAAUGUGGCAACGCAGGAACUGAAAUCAUUAGGCCGUUUCUGAAACCAGUAGUGAUGUAUGUUAUUUAAUUCGAUGAUCCUCGAAAAACCUUACCACAAUUUGAAUAGUUACAAGCGCUGCACGGCUGUCUCCAGUUAAUGUCGUGAGAUUUUGGUUACGCCUAAAAAUUAACGUAAACCCUUACUUUAUUUAACUUUUUUUUAAUAAAGUACUUGACCGCUAUAUUGGUUAUUAUAAAAGGGACUAAGACAAGUCAUCAUGGCCUUAAUAUUGUGGGCUAUAGACGUGCCGCAUAUGCCUACACAAAGAGAUGCAAAAAUGUGAAUUAGAGCUAAUCUCCCAAAAUAGGAUAUAAUAA